This 362-nucleotide ribosomal RNA is filed under the name uncultured bacterium. RNAcentral describes it as "partial 16S ribosomal RNA". It matches the Rfam family "Bacterial small subunit ribosomal RNA", at positions 338 to 697 of the family's 1533-position model. The record is from RNAcentral.
CCUACGGGUGGCAGCAGUGAGGAAUAUUGGUCAAUGGCCGGAAGGCUGAACCAGCCAUGCCGCGUGAAGGUCAGUGCCCUAUGGGCGUUAAACUUCUUUUGUGCGGGAGCAAUAAUGGUCACGUGUGGCCAGACGAGAGUACCGUACGAUUAAGCAUCGGCUAACUCCGUGCCAGCAGCCGCGGCAAUACGGGGGAUGCAAGCGUUAUCCGGAUUUAUUGGGUUUAAAGGGUGCGUAAGCUGUGAGGUAAGUCAGCGGUGAAUUGCCCCCGCUCGACGGGGUGAAGUGCCAUUGAUACUGGCUUGCUGGAGUGCGGAUGCGGUGGGAGGAAUGUGUGGUGUAGCGGUGAAAUGCGUAGAGAU